GGUGUGUUUGCACAAUAAAUCGUUUGAAGUGAAGUUACAGAGUGUGGGGAAGAUAUGUAGAGUUAAUGCCGGACGCUCACCACCCCGAGAGCCCACCACCGUCACCGUAAUCCACACCCAGGCACUGACCGAAGCAUCUCCCAGCCGUAAGCCCCAUUACUUAUUCAAGAACACCUACUUACUGUUGAUUACUUACUCUGCUGUGCAGAUCGCAGGAUCCUCUGGGCUGAACGCCGCAUGUGAUGUCCCUAUGAAAGGAGGUGGACACAAGAAUUAUUCUUUUCCUGGUUACAACCGAAGCAUCUCCCAGCCAUCGCAGGAUCCUCUGGGCUGAACGCCGCAUGUGAUGUCCCUAUGAAAGGAGGUGGACACAAGAAUUAUUCUUUUCCUGGUUACAACCGAAGCAUCUCCCAGCCAUUGCAGGAUCCUCUGGGCUGGACGCUGCAUGUGAUGUCCCUGUAAAAGGAGGUGGACACGAGAAUUAUUCCUUUUCCCGGUCUCGACCGAAACAUCCACGAGCUCUACUUACCCGGAUAUCCCCCCCUCAUUCCGGGACGGGUGACAGACUAUCCUGGCUCUUGCCGGCCCCGUACAGGCACGAACUGCCGACGACUCCACGCCUCCCCGGCGUCCGAGGUCUGGCUUCGUUCUGGUCGGGAGACACGGAAGGAACACUGAACUUUUAAAUUGCUUUUAACCAAAUAAAACCUUGUUCAAUUUUUUUUAUACUCUCGUCCGUCUGGUUCUUCUGGUACGCUCUCUGAGGUGAUCCUGGGUUUCAGGGGCGGGUGCAGUCCGGCUUGGCCCCCCCGACCUGUGACAUUUGC
This is a long non-coding RNA of Cyprinus carpio carpio, 827 nucleotides long. The record is from Ensembl. NCBI's taxonomy places the organism in Eukaryota, Metazoa, Chordata, Actinopteri, Cypriniformes, Cyprinidae.